CCUACGGGUGACAGCAGUGGGGGAUAUUGCGCAAUGGGCGAAAGCCUGACGCAGCGACGCCGCGUGAGGGAUGAAGGUCUUCGGAUCGUAAACCUCUGUCAGCAGGGAAGAACGGUCACUGUGCUAAUCAGCAGUGAAUUGACGGUACCUGCAAAGGAAGCACCGGCUAACUCCGUGCCAGCAGCCGCGGUAAUACGGAGGGUGCGAGCGUUAAUCGGAAUUACUGGGCGUAAAGCGCUCGUAGGCGGGAUGUCAAGUCAAGGGUGAAAUCCCCGCGCUCAACGGGGGAACUGCCUUUGAAACUGGCAAACUGGAGUGUGUGAGAGGAUAGUGGAAUUCCAGGUGUAGGAGUGAAAUGCGUAGAUAUCUGGAGGAACAUCAGUGGCGAAGGCGACUAUCUGGCACAUAACUGACGCUGAGGAGCGAAAGCGUGGGUAGCAAACAGGAUUAGAUACCCGAGUAGUC
This 465-nucleotide ribosomal RNA is filed under the name uncultured bacterium. Its description in RNAcentral is "partial 16S ribosomal RNA". It matches the Rfam family "Bacterial small subunit ribosomal RNA", at positions 338 to 795 of the family's 1533-position model. The record is from RNAcentral.